This 430-nucleotide ribosomal RNA is filed under the name uncultured soil bacterium. Its description in RNAcentral is "bacterial SSU rRNA". It matches the Rfam family "Bacterial small subunit ribosomal RNA", at positions 26 to 438 of the family's 1533-position model. The record is from RNAcentral.
AGAGUGAACGCUGGCGGUAGGCCUAACACAUGCAAGUCGAACGGCAGCACGGUAAGAGCUUGCUCUUAUGGGUGGCGAGUGGCGGACGGGUGAGGAAUACAUCGGAAUCUACCUUUUGGUGGGGGAUAACGUAGGGAAACUUACGCUAAUACCGCAUACGCCCUUCGGGGGAAAGCCGGGGACCAGCAAUGGCCUGGCGCUGAUAGAUGAGCCGAUGUCGGAUUAGCUAGUUGGUGAGGUAAUGGACUCACCAAGGACGACGAUCCGUAGCUGGUCUGAGAGGAUGAUCAGCCACACUGGAACUGAGACACGGUCCAGACUCCGACGGGAGGCAGCAGUGGGGAAUAGUUGGACAAUGGGCGACAAGCCUGAUCCAGCCAUACCCGGCGUGGUAGAAGAACGGCCGUUUCGGGUUAGUAAAGUCCCGUUU